RNAcentral lists this long non-coding RNA (477 nucleotides) under Homo sapiens (human). RNAcentral describes it as "HSALNT0326109". The record is from RNAcentral. Lineage: Eukaryota; Metazoa; Chordata; Mammalia; Primates; Hominidae.
AGUGCAAGAGCAGUGAUUCUGGGAUUCAGAUAUGCCAAAGAGAAGCCAUGAAGUGCAUCUUUUAAAUUAAAAGCCUACCUAUUCUCCCAGAGGGCAUGCAUUCUAUGGAGACAGAGCUGAAUGUGUGCCAUCAGAAGACCAAAAUCAAGCGACAUUUUAAAAAGAAAACAGACUCUUCUGGGAAAAAUGGUGACUCCACAAAGUAAGAAGCCACCAAGACUUGUAGGACAUUCCUUCAUCUUCUCCUGGAUGGGGCAACCCAGCCAUGGAUAUAUGCCUCCAAUCAGCAUAAAUGCCCAUUGCUUGAUAAAGUCAACACACGUGUAAGAUGGAAAUUCUGUUUCUUGAAGGGAACUCCUCAGAGAAAAGGACCACAAGCAAAUUGCUGCUGCUACAAAAUGAUACCAUAAUGAGAAUGGAAAUAAUCCUGGAUUCUCUGCUCAUUUCGACAAGUAAAAUAAGGCACAUAUUUUUCAA